Molecule: ribosomal RNA, 352 nt
Filed under: Terebra sp. MNHN IM 2013-52237
Lineage: Eukaryota; Metazoa; Mollusca; Gastropoda; Neogastropoda; Terebridae
Also listed under: 3 other names
Description: partial 12S ribosomal RNA
Source: RNAcentral
ACCGGAGUACUAUGAAUAUUAAAAAUUUAAAACUCAAAGAACUUGGCGGUGUUUUAGACCACUCAGGGGAACCUGUCUCAUAAUCGAUAAUCCACGUUGUACCUGACCUUUUUUUGUAUUCAGUUUGUAUACCGUUGUCGUCAGGUAACUUUUUAGAAAUUAGAAGUUAGCAGCAGAAAUAAAAAAUAAUUUAAUACGUCAAAUCAAGGUGCAGCUAAUGAAAAGGGGAGGAUGGGUUACAAUUAUAUAAUUUAUAAUAACGGAUAGGUAUAUGGAGUAUGUAUUAAUUAUAAGGCGGACUUGAAAGUAAAUUAGGUUAUAUAAAUAACUUGAAUGAGGCUCUGAAACGUGU